This is a long non-coding RNA of Triticum dicoccoides, 734 nucleotides long. RefSeq lists it as uncharacterized. The transcript has 4 exons. NCBI's taxonomy places the organism in Eukaryota, Viridiplantae, Streptophyta, Magnoliopsida, Poales, Poaceae. The record is from RefSeq and is a predicted model, not a curated record.
CAUCCCCCGCUCCGUUUUCUUUAUUCGCCCAAUAUUUAUCCCCCAAUGGUGUGAGACGCCCCCUCCUGCUCUCCUGUCCAAGCUAAAUCGGCAGCCGCUAGGCUCCUUACAUGUCGCAGCUCAGACGAUCGAGAAGGAGAAUUGAGAAGGAUAGAUCAGGUGGCGACUGUGAGGGACAGAGAAGGCCUGAAAACAUGGUGGCGGCUGGGUCGACGGGAGAGAGAAGGGGCGUGCUGUGGCGGCCUCCAGGUCACUGCCGUGUCGCCUACCGUCUCCCUCGGACAGGUGAGUUCACCGUCGAUGAUGCCUCCUCCAACCACGUGUGGUACCCGUGGUCCUGGUCAAGCCCCAGGUUCGUUGCAAACUUCCAACAGAUAAUGGCGAGGAGACGCAAUUCCCUAGCAGCAAUUUUCUUUUAGAGACCUGCUGAUGAUUUGCGUGGGGAUGUUGUUGGCCAUGUGUGUUAGGGUCACAGCUCAUGGGAGAGAUGUCAGAGCUCAGUCAGUUAUAUAGGGGACUACAUCGAGGUCGAGGUACACAUGUACUGAACGUUCAUCCUGUGUAGUUGUCGUAGCAUGACCAGGUAUAGUAGGGAAGUACCGAAGUAGCAUUUGUAAUGGGCGCAAGCAAAUAUUGCUUUACUACAGAAGCAGCAAAAACUUAGCGUAUGUUGGCAGCCACCACAACAUGUCAAGCGAUAGCAUGAGCAAAUCGGAGAACGAGUAGUUGUGGAC